GCGCCCGUAGCUCAGUAGGAUAGAGCGUUAGUUUCCUAAACUAUAGGCCGGUGGUUCGAAUCCACUCGGGUGCACCA
This 77-nucleotide transfer RNA is filed under the name Alkalibaculum sporogenes. RNAcentral describes it as "Alkalibaculum sp. M08DMB tRNA-Arg". It matches the Rfam family "tRNA". From Rfam's summary of the family: Transfer RNA (tRNA) molecules are approximately 80 nucleotides in length. Lineage: Bacteria; Bacillati; Bacillota; Clostridia; Eubacteriales; Eubacteriaceae. The record is from RNAcentral.